This is a long non-coding RNA of Equus asinus (donkey), 2346 nucleotides long. NCBI's taxonomy places the organism in Eukaryota, Metazoa, Chordata, Mammalia, Perissodactyla, Equidae. The record is from Ensembl.
AGGACAGGGUGAUAAGAUACCAAAGGUGGGGGAUUUUCACUAAACUGAUCCAGCAGAAUUCUUGUUAAAAUUGGACUAAACAGGCCACAGACAGAGCCCAAGGCCCCAGGUCUGGUCAGAAAGAGGACUGACUCGGAACUGCUGGGCUUAAGUUUGAUCAAAGAGAGAGUCUUUGUCAGAAUCUGACGAGCACCUCUUCUGAGCAGGUACCUCUCACCAGACUGUGUCCUUGGCCUCAGGCAUGUCACCAUCUCAGCAGGGAUGGUCUUUUUAUUCCAACAACCACAGGAUCCCUUGUGUUUUGCCCAAGCAAAGAAGCUAGCGCCAAAAUUCAGGAUGAAUCAUCGUUCCUCUCUUGCAAAGUGACUGUUAGCUCCCAAAUAUACGGAGGCUUUCCCAGCGUCUUUUAGAUGCUGUGCGUGAAUUCUGGUCCAAAAGAAGCAUUUCCUAGUGGGAGUGGGGAGACAUGUCAGGCAGGAAAGGAUCCGAGCAAGGAGGGUUACUGGAAUUAGUUUGCUCUGGUAGGAGCUUUUUCUUCCACUGCCCUUGUGUCUCCUUGGUGGAGGCAAGCAGGUCUCAACAGUAAUCAUAGACCACAAUAUUAGAGGUGUCAGGGAUGGAGGCCCGCCUCCUCAUUUUAUAGAUGAGGAGCGCAGCAUCCAGAGAGGUAAACUGAUUUGCUUAAGAUCCUACAAGCUGCAAAUGUCAGAGUGCUAGGACUUCACUUAUGUCUUCUGCCUUCUGUCAUAACAGACUGCUUCUUCUUCCCUGAAUUGCUGCAACGUGGAACUGUGGGAGGCAAAGGAAACACUCCACAGGAACUCAUAAGGAAUUGAAACAUUAACACCGAUGCAUCACUUAAAAAUAAUAAUAAUGACUAACACUUAUUGUGAGCCCUUCCUGAGCUGUCUUAUUAACUUAGUUCAGGUUUUUUAAUGUGGACUACGAAGUUACAGUCGUGCACCAUGUAACGAUGUUCCAGUCAAUGACGGACCACAUAUACAACGGUGGUCCCAUAAGAUUAUAAAGGAACUGAAAAAUUUCUAUUCCUAGCGACGUCCUAGCCAUUGUAAUGUUGGAGCGCAAUGCAUUGCUGAUGUGCUUGUGGUGAUGCUGGUGUAAACAAAUCCACAGGUUCUUCAGGAGGUGCUCCGGAAGGAGGCAUCAUUAUCAUAGAAUAGGACAGCUCUACGCAAGUUAUUGCCUCUGAAGACCUUCCACUGGGACAACCUGCGGAGGUGGAAGAGAGUGAUAGUGAUGAUCCCAACCCUGUGUAGGCCUAGGCUAAUGUGUGUGUCUUAGUUUUUAACAAAAAAGUUUAAAAAGUAAAAAAAAAAAAAUUUUAAACUAGAGAAUCUUAUAGAACAAGGAUAUAAAGAAAGAGACUAUUUUUGUACAGCCGUACAAUGUAUUUGUGUUUUAAGCUGUGUUACUACAAAAGAAUCAGAAAGUUAAAAAAUUUAAAAAUUUAUAAAGUAAAAACGUUACAGUAAGCUGUGGUUAACUUAUUAUGAAGAAAAAGAUAUUUUAAAAAUAAAUUGAGCAUAGCCUAAGUGUACAGUGUUUAUGAAGUCUACAGGAGGGUCCAGUGAUGUCCGAGGCCUUCACGUCACUCACUGACUCACCCAGAGCAGCUUCCUGUCCUGCCAGUUCCAUCCAUGUAAGAGCCCUCUAUGGGUGUACCAUUUUUUAUCUUUGAUCCCAAAUUUUCACUGUACCUUUUCUAUGCUUAGAUGUGUUUAGAUACACAAAUACUUACCACUGUGUUUCAGUUGCCUGCAGUAUUCAGCACAGUAACAUGCUGUGCAGGUUUGCAGCCUGGAGCAGUGGGCUAUAGUAUGUAGCCUAGGCGUGUGGCAGGCUGCGCCAGCUAGGUUUGUUUACGCGCACUCUCUGAUGUUUGCCCAGCGAUGAAAUCGCCAACGGGUCUUCAGUGCUGUGGAAUAUUUUAUAGAGCAUUGGGUCACCUGGUCUUUGAAGGCACGGUAGAAUUUCUUGUGAAAGUACCUGGGUCUGGUGCUUUUGUGUGGGGUAGUUCCUUAAUAAAUUUCUCUAUUUCUUCUAUGGAAUUGGUCUGUUUAAACUUUCUAAUUCUAAUGGGGGGUCAUUUUUGGAAAUUUUUGUUUUCCUGGGAAAUUGUCUGUUUCACCUAGUUUUUCAAGUUUGUUUUCAUAGAAGUCCGUACAGUAGUUUCUUACAAUUAAAAACUUUCUUUUGUUCCAAUGGUUAUUUCCCCCUCAUCAUUUUAAAUUUUGUAUAUUUGUAUUUUCUCCUAUUUUUUUCUUGAUUGGGUUAGCCAAUGAUUUGUUUUAAUUGUUUUUUGAAACAGGAUUUUAUUUAUUAAUU